Molecule: long non-coding RNA, 3134 nt
Organism: Equus caballus (horse)
Lineage: Eukaryota; Metazoa; Chordata; Mammalia; Perissodactyla; Equidae
Source: RefSeq, a predicted model, not a curated record
CUCAGCUGGCCCCAAACUAGUUGGCCCUAGGGGGAUAAGAACUUCCCAUCUUGUUAGUUUCUGAGCCUCUCACUAUUCUUUUCCUCAUUAUCCUUUUCUUGUUCCCUUAAACUUGCCUAACAUUCAAUAACUGGUUCCUACAUUAAAGCCUCUUCAUUUGAACAGUUAUGAGCGAAUUCUGUUUCCUACUGGCAAGCUGGCUGAUACACCAGAUGAAGAAGGAGCCACCCUCAAAGACAACAAACUCAGCGUUGAAAUAUGUUACUAUGUCAACAGUCUGCUGCUCUGAAAUUUAGCCCUGGACAAAGAAGGCAAAGGAAUCCCAGAAGAAGCCAUUUUCCAUGCCUGGAUUCUAAUAAUGAGGAUGGUAGAAACACACAAGGACUCAGGAUCAAAGCUCUGUCUGGGAGAAAGGGUGCUCUGCAGUUAUCUUGAUUAUGAAGAAGGUGGUAACCAAGUAGGGUGCAAAGUCAGGAGAUGAAAAAUGGAGGCCUCACCCUCAGGAGGGAGGCAGUGCUGCAUAUUGUGCCAUCCUUUCUGCAAAUGAGGAAACUGAGACUUGGCAAGGAUAAGUAACUUCACCCGGUUGAAACAUCAUGAAAACAGUGAUCACUGAAGCUCUCUGAUUCUGAUGACUAUAUGCCCAUUUCAUUGUCCUUCAGCAGGGGGAUAGGCAAUGUCCCUGAAAAGACUUUAUAAUUUGACUCUCAUUGUAUAGUUUAGGCUUCUUUGGAACCUUCAUUUUUUCAAGAAAUAUGGGAAAAGAAAGAUAAAGAACUUGUGUCUUCUCCAUACUAAUCUCUUCUCAGAGUUCCCAACACACAGGGAACUAUGCUCACAGUUUUCAAAGACUAAAGGUACUGAAGGCUUAGACAGAGACUCUUUGCCAGGCCAUUGGUCCUCAUGGUUGUGCAGGCAGCCAAGGACCUGAAGAUGACGAUGUAAAGCGAUCCCCUAGGAAGUGUACUGCAGCGUGGGCUCUCGGCGUGGACCACUGAGACUAUUUGGGCUCCAAAACACAGCUCCCUCUUUUUUACCAACUGUUUGAUUAACCUUGGAUACAUAACUUAACCUCUCUGCGCGUCAUUUCACUCAAGUGUCAAAUGGAUAUAAUACCUAAUUUGUAAAGUUGAUAUAAAGAGUAAAUUAAUCUGAUUAAAAUGCUCAGUCCAGUGCCUACCACAUAGUAGGGGCUCACUAAACCUUAGCAUCGUUAGUAUUAUUUUUAGAUUUUACUUUUCCAGUCUACCAGAAGAAGUAGGAAUAGGUUUAUUGUCAAAAAGAUCUAACCAUGUUAUAAAUAUGCAGGAGGCAAUCAAAAGUAUGUGUCUACAUGUUUAUGGUGAAAGAGAGCUGUUGAAAACUAAGCAUCUCAGCUGUUUCUGAGCUUUCUCAUUAACAUUUGUUUGUUCUUUUUGAUUCCUUUUGUUUUCUGCUAGCAGACAAGUGGUAGCAGGUGCCAAAGUUUAAGGAAAAAUAUGGGAGAAAAUUUUAAAUGGGGUUAUCUAUUCAUUAACUCUUUUUCUCCCUGCAAAUUUUGUAGGGCUGUGAAGGAGAAGAAUAUAACUCAGGAAACCAAUCAUCUCGUGCAGAAGAGUCCUGUGUUGGGCUUCUAGAAGGCUGGGCUGAGUCUGCGCAGCACAGGCAGCUGAAGAGCUUUCCAGUGAGACCUGAGGUCAUGGGUUUUAAUAAACUGGGCUAGGCAGAGGGUGACCAGUUGUCCCAGUUUGCCUAGAACUUCUCUGUUUUUAGCACUGAAAGUGCCGCAUCCUGGGACAGCCCUCAGCACUGGAAAACCGUGAUGCCUGGUCACCCUAGUGAGAAUUAAAUUCAGCAGCAGGUGAGAUGGUAAACCUAACUAGACAUGCAAAUCUGCAAUCGACAUUCAACUCUCAUCCUUCGCCUGCCACCUGCCAUCUUUAUCAACCGCUAAAGGAACUAACCACAGUCCCCCAGUAGACGAUCCUGCUUGGUCAGACAGAGAGAAAUGACAAAGUGCAGCAGCUGUUUCUCUUCUGCUGCCCCUUACUAUCUCUUCUUUGCUUGUUUGUUUGUUUGUAUGUAGAAUGUAUUUAUGGGUGUAUUUUUCUCUCCGUAAGCUGAAUGGUUGACUUGUGCUAGUGGCAAUGGCAUUAGCAGGCAGCACAAACCCUGAACAAAGACUUAGUUGAUGUGGUUAACCAGUGUGUCAAGUACAAAGUAGGUAUAGUAUGUUCAAAGACUCUCUACAUGGAUCUAAUAAAUGAGAUAACAGACAAAAAACUCAUUUGUUCUAGAAAAUGCAAUCUAGUACAUUAGAGGGAGCCCAGAAAGAAGAAAUGUUUUUUAAUAGUCAUUUUUUUGAGCACUUAGAAUGUGCCAUGUGUUUAACUGUGCUCUCAUUUAAUCCUUCAACAACUCUGUGAGGUUGAAGUAUAGACACAAGAAGAGGUUCAGGACAAGUUUGUGGAUGGAGAAUGUAGUUUUCAGUUCGAGCUAUGCUAAAAACUUGGUGAAUCACCUUGCAUAUGUCUUUUAGCCACAGCAUAACUCUUUAUAUUUAUCUGUAAAAUAGGUCCUCCUCAUUUCCCAGGGUAAGUUUCAGGAUUGCAUAAGAGAAUAAACAUGAAUUUACUUUGUAAAAUGCCAUCCAGGUAUAAUCCUGUCUCCCCUAAUACAUACACAUACACAGACACAAACACAGACAUACACACAACACGUAAACACGAACACACCUAGUAAAUUUUGGAAAUUGUUUUAAUCUUUCUAAUGACCACAACCAUGAAAUGAUUUGGGAGUGGGAACAAAGGCUUUGGUCUUUGUCAGAGUCCUGCCACCACCUGUUCAAGCCACACCAAAAAAACACACAAUGUCAAUACAAAGUGCCCAGCCUUCCCGGGGCAGCUUCCCUCUAGUCCUUUCUAGUCGGAAACUCCACACUCCAUCCCUGCUCUAUGCCACAAUUUCACAUCUAUACAUCUCAAACUUUUGACUUUGGACCAUCUGUUGGAAAUAGAGACACAAGUAAAAUAUUAGAGCUUAGAGUACUGAUUAAACUCCAAGUAUUUGCAAAUCUUAUCUAACAAAGCAAAAUGGUUCAAGUUAUCAUUCGUAUCUUGAUAUCUUGUGAGAUUUUGUUCUUAGCCUUCAAUUUC